This 399-nucleotide ribosomal RNA is filed under the name Morganella morganii. RNAcentral's name for it is "bacterial LSU rRNA". It matches the Rfam family "Bacterial large subunit ribosomal RNA", at positions 146 to 583 of the family's 2925-position model. The record is from RNAcentral. Lineage: Bacteria; Pseudomonadati; Pseudomonadota; Gammaproteobacteria; Enterobacterales; Morganellaceae.
CACUAUCAUUACCUGAAUACAUAGGGUAAUGAAGCGAACCGGGAGAACUGAAACAUCUAAGUACCCCGAGGAAAAGAAAUCAAACGAGAUUCCCCCAGUAGCGGCGAGCGAACGGGGAGCAGCCCAGGACCUUAAUCAGCAUCAGUGUUAAGAGAACAGUCUGGAAAGGCUGGCCACAGCAGGUGAUAGCCCUGUAUCUGAAAGCACUGGUGUUGUGAGUCCGAUGAGUAAGGCGGGACACGUGUUAUCCUGUCUGAAUACGGGGGGACCAUCCUCCAAGGCUAAAUACUCCUGACUGACCGAUAGUGAACCAGUACCGUGAGGGAAAGGCGAAAAGAACCCCGGCGAGGGGAGUGAAAAAGAACCUGAAACCGUGUACGUACAAGCAGUGGGAGCACC